RNAcentral lists this long non-coding RNA (202 nucleotides) under Capsicum annuum. RNAcentral's name for it is "long non-coding RNA (CANN_LNC008729)". The record is from RNAcentral. Lineage: Eukaryota; Viridiplantae; Streptophyta; Magnoliopsida; Solanales; Solanaceae.
UCCACCGCAAAGACCUUGAUUACAGUUACCAUCAAUAUUGAGUUUUACAAACAUAUUAGGAGAGUUUUUAUCCACUUUAAUAUGGUUGUGGUUCUGUUAUUAAUUUUAGUAUCUUCAAAGUCACCUCAUUCCUUGUUCCCUACCCAAAAUACUAUCAAUGGCGAAUCUACACCUCCAUCAGCCUCACCCAUUUAUUCUCAAC